GUGCCAGCAGCCGCGGUAAUACAGAGGGUGCGAGCGUUGUCCGGAAUCACUGGGCGUAAAGGGCGCGUAGGUGGCCUGGUAAGUAGGGGGUGAAAUCUCGUGGCUCAACUGCGAGGCUGCCUCCUAAACUGUCAGGCUCGAGCAGAGUAGAGGCAGGUGGAAUUCCCGGUGUAGCGGUGGAAUGCGUAGAGAUCGGGAAGAACAUCGGUGGCGAAGGCGGCCUGCUGGGCUCUUGCUGACACUGAGGCGCGACAGCGUGGGGAGCAAACAGGAUUAGAAACCCCCGUAGUCC
RNAcentral lists this ribosomal RNA (292 nucleotides) under uncultured bacterium. RNAcentral describes it as "partial 16S ribosomal RNA". It matches the Rfam family "Bacterial small subunit ribosomal RNA", at positions 505 to 796 of the family's 1533-position model. The record is from RNAcentral.